UGCGCUUUUAACUGCUUGUGGUUGAGUGGCAGCAUGAGCGAGCUCUGCGUAUUCCAACCCGGUGUUAAGAAUCCUUCACUAACUUUUCUUCCCGACGCUGCUUAUUUAUCUAUCGGUAGCAUGACGGGUAAUUGACGCCCUCGGAUGGCUUUGAGGUCGCCAUUUUUGGUUGGUGCCUUUGUCUUGGUGUCAGGACUGGGAUAUCAUCUGGGACACAUUACCCCACAGGUAUCCUGUUGGACCUCAACGAGGAAGUUGGCAACAGAGGAACCAGGAGAUGAGAGAGAUCGAUACCUACAGCCGCUGAGAGCCGGUAUUCCAACGCCAUGAGACGCCUUCUGUUGUGAGCAGUUGACAAGAGAGACCCAGCACUUACUGCAACCGGAAGGAGCGGUUCCUCCCUCGCUCGCGCAGCCGCUCUUCCCCGCCACUCCCUCGGUGCCCGCCAGCACAUUCCCAGCAAGCCCUGAGUAUAUUUGCAUAUCAACUCACUACAUUUUUCUUCUAACUAAAAAAUCGAAAGGACAAAUUCUAGAUUCUCCUUGUGAAGUCUUCCUUUCAGUUCAGAAGAAAUGGAAUUCGCUCUUCAACUUCAGGAAGUUGAAAUAAAGAGUUGCUUGGA
Molecule: long non-coding RNA, 622 nt
Filed under: Pan troglodytes (chimpanzee)
Lineage: Eukaryota; Metazoa; Chordata; Mammalia; Primates; Hominidae
Description: lincRNA
Source: RNAcentral